ACAACGAAGAGUUUGAUCCUGGCUCAGGAUGAACGCUAGCGACAGGCUUAACACAUGCAAGUCGAGGGGCAGCACAGGUAGCAAUACCGGGUGGCGACCGGCGCACGGGUGAGUAACGCGUAUGCAACUUACCUAUCAGAGGGGGAUAACCCGGCGAAAGUCGGACUAAUACCGCAUGAAGCAGGGGCCCCGCAUGGGGAUAUUUGCUAAAGAUUCAUCGCUGAUAGAUAGGCAUGCGUUCCAUUAGGCAGUUGGCGGGGUAACGGCCCACCAAACCGACGAUGGAUAGGGGUUCUGAGAGGAAGGUCCCCCACAUUGGUACUGAGACACGGACCAAACUCCUACGGGAGGCAGCAGUGAGGAAUAUUGGUCAAUGGCCGAGAGGCUGAACCAGCCAAGUCGCGUGAGGGAUGAAGGUUCUAUGGAUCGUAAACCUCUUUUAUAAGGGAAUAAAGUGCGGGACGUGUCCCGUUUUGUAUGUACCUUAUGAAUAAGGAUCGGCUAACUCCGUGCCAGCAGCCGCGGUAAUACGGAGGAUCCGAGCGUUAUCCGGAUUUAUUGGGUUUAAAGGGUGCGUAGGCGGCCUUUUAAGUCAGCGGUGAAAGUCUGUGGCUCAACCAUAGAAUUGCCGUUGAAACUGGGGGGCUUGAGUAUGUUUGAGGCAGGCGGAAUGCGUGGUGUAGCGGUGAAAUGCAUAGAUAUCACGCAGAACCCCGAUUGCGAAGGCAGCCUGCCAAGCCAUUACUGACGCUGAUGCACGAAAGCGUGGGGAUCAAACAGGAUUAGAUACCCUGGUAGUCCACGCAGUAAACGAUGAUCACUAGCUGUUUGCGAUACACUGUAAGCGGCACAGCGAAAGCGUUAAGUGAUCCACCUGGGGAGUACGCCGGCAACGGUGAAACUCAAAGGAAUUGACGGGGGCCCGCACAAGCGGAGGAACAUGUGGUUUAAUUCGAUGAUACGCGAGGAACCUUACCCGGGUUUGAACGCAUUCGGACCGAGGUGGAAACACCUUUUCUAGCAAUAGCCGUUUGCGAGGUGCUGCAUGGUUGUCGUCAGCUCGUGCCGUGAGGUGUCGGCUUAAGUGCCAUAACGAGCGCAACCCUUGCCACUAGUUACUAACAGGUAAAGCUGAGGACUCUGGUGGGACUGCCAGCGUAAGCUGCGAGGAAGGCGGGGAUGACGUCAAAUCAGCACGGCCCUUACAUCCGGGGCGACACACGUGUUACAAUGGCGUGGACAAAGGGAAGCCACCUGGCGACAGGGAGCGAAUCCCCAAACCACGUCUCAGUUCGGAUCGGAGUCUGCAACCCGACUCCGUGAAGCUGGAUUCGCUAGUAAUCGCGCAUCAGCCAUGGCGCGGUGAAUACGUUCCCGGGCCUUGUACACACCGCCCGUCAAGCCAUGGGAGCCGGGGGUACCUGAAGUCCGUAACCGCGAGGAUCGGCCUAGGGUAAAACUGGUGACUGGGGCUAAGUCGUAACAAGGUAGCCGUACCGGAAGGUGCGGCUGGAACACCUCCUUU
Molecule: ribosomal RNA, 1525 nt
Filed under: Parabacteroides distasonis
Lineage: Bacteria; Pseudomonadati; Bacteroidota; Bacteroidia; Bacteroidales; Tannerellaceae
Description: bacterial SSU rRNA
Rfam family: Bacterial small subunit ribosomal RNA
Source: RNAcentral